UACGUAGGGUGCAAGCGUUGUCCGGAAUUAUUGGGCGUAAAGGGCGCGUAGGUGGCGCGAACAGUCAGUGGAUGAAAGUUCGACGCUCAACUGUCGAAUCGGCCACUGAUACUGUUGGGCUUGAGCACUGUAGAGGCUAAGUGGAAUUCCGGGUGUAGCGGUGGAAUGCGUAGAGAGUCCGGAAGAACACCGGUGGCGAAGGCGGUUAGCUGG
This 213-nucleotide ribosomal RNA is filed under the name uncultured bacterium. RNAcentral describes it as "partial 16S ribosomal RNA". It matches the Rfam family "Bacterial small subunit ribosomal RNA", at positions 524 to 732 of the family's 1533-position model. The record is from RNAcentral.